AUAAAUGUGCAGCCUUUUCCUCAAAUAUUUUGAACAUCUGAAAAAAGUCCUUCAGUUGAGAUUUUGAAAAGAAUGCCUCGAAGACGGACGCCAUUGAAGUUCAGCAUGGAAUAGUAAAAGGGUUGGCAAAAUGCUCAUCAAGGUCCAGUACCGUGGACUAAAAAAGUACCUCAAACUGCAGCCUGGUUUUUCUUAUGAAAGUUUCAUUGAAGAAGUGAUAUGGAGAGGUCCUCUUCAAACAAGGGACAUCAA
This is a long non-coding RNA of Alosa alosa (allis shad), 252 nucleotides long. RefSeq lists it as uncharacterized. The record is from RefSeq and is a predicted model, not a curated record. NCBI's taxonomy places the organism in Eukaryota, Metazoa, Chordata, Actinopteri, Clupeiformes, Clupeidae. The transcript is spliced from 3 exons.